RNAcentral lists this ribosomal RNA (464 nucleotides) under uncultured bacterium. RNAcentral describes it as "partial 16S ribosomal RNA". It matches the Rfam family "Bacterial small subunit ribosomal RNA", at positions 338 to 795 of the family's 1533-position model. The record is from RNAcentral.
CCUACGGGUGGCAGCAGUAGGGAAUUUUCGUCAAUGGGCGCAAGCCUGAACGAGCAAUGCCGCGUGAACGAGGAAGGUCUUCGGAUCGUAAAGUUCUGUUGAAGGGGAAAAAGAGCGGAGAGAGGAAAUGCUUUCUGAUUGAUAUUACCCUUCGAGGAAGUCACGGCUAACUACGUGCCAGCAGCCGCGGUAAUACGUAGGUGGCGAGCGUUAUCCGGAAUGAUUGGGCGUAAAGGGUGCGUAGGCGGCCUGCUAAGUCUGGAGUGAAAGGUACCGGCUCAACCGGUACAGGCUCUGGAAACUGGCGGGCUAGAGAGCAGGAGAGGGCGGUGGAACUCCAUGUGUAGCGGUAAAAUGCGUAGAUAUAUGGAAGAACAUCAGUGGCGAAGGCAUCUCACGAAUCCGCGAUUGACGCUGAUGCACGAAAGCGUGGGUAUCAAACAGGAUUAGAUACCCCAGUAGUC